UACGUAGGGGGCAAGCGUUGUCCGGAAUCAUUGGGCGUAAAGAGCGCGUAGGCGGUCCGGUAAGUCGGUUGUGAAAACUGGGGGCUCAACCCUCAGAGGCCGACCGAUACUGCCGGGCUAGAGUCCGGAAGAGGCGAGUGGAAUUUCUGGUGUAGCGGUGAAAUGCGCAGAUAUCAGGAGGAACACCAAUGGCGAAGGCAGCUCGCUGGGACGGUACUGACGCUGAGGCGCGAAAGCGUGGGGAGCAAACAGG
RNAcentral lists this ribosomal RNA (253 nucleotides) under uncultured bacterium. RNAcentral's name for it is "partial 16S ribosomal RNA". It matches the Rfam family "Bacterial small subunit ribosomal RNA", at positions 524 to 776 of the family's 1533-position model. The record is from RNAcentral.